UUGGAGUCUGCAACUCGAGUCUGCAACUCGACUCCAUGAAGUCGGAAUCGCUAGUAAUCGUAGAUCAGAAUGCUACGGUGAAUACGUUCCCGGGCCUUGUACACACCGCCCGUCACACCAUGGGAGUGGGUUGCAAAAGAAGUAGGUAGCUUAACCUUCGGGAGGGCGCUUACCACUUUGUGAUUCAUGACUGGGGUGAAGUCGUAACAAGGUAACCGUAGGGGAACCUGCGGUUGGAUCACCUCCUUA
RNAcentral lists this ribosomal RNA (249 nucleotides) under Providencia rettgeri. Its description in RNAcentral is "partial 16S ribosomal RNA". It matches the Rfam family "Bacterial small subunit ribosomal RNA", at positions 1286 to 1533 of the family's 1533-position model. Lineage: Bacteria; Pseudomonadati; Pseudomonadota; Gammaproteobacteria; Enterobacterales; Morganellaceae. The record is from RNAcentral.